UUCUUUGGUUAUCUAGCUGUAUGAGUGAUAUUAACAUCAUAAAGCUAGGUUACCAAAGUU
Molecule: non-coding RNA, 60 nt
Organism: Ixodes scapularis (black-legged tick)
Lineage: Eukaryota; Metazoa; Arthropoda; Arachnida; Ixodida; Ixodidae
Source: Rfam